GUCUACAGCCAUGCCACCCUAAACACGCCCGUUCCCGUCUGAUCUCAGAAGCUAAGCAGGGUUGGGCCUGGUGAGUACUUGGAUGGGAGACCACCUAGGAAGACCAGGUGCUGUAGGCA
RNAcentral lists this ribosomal RNA (119 nucleotides) under Pteropus alecto (black flying fox). Lineage: Eukaryota; Metazoa; Chordata; Mammalia; Chiroptera; Pteropodidae. The record is from RNAcentral.